CAUGCAAGUCGAGCGCCCCGCAAGGGGAGCGGCAGACGGGUGAGUAACGCGUGGGGAUCUGCCUAGUGGUACGGAACAACACGGGGAAACUCGUGCUAAUACCGUAUAAGUCCUUCGGGAGAAAGAUUUAUCGCCAUUAGAUGAACCCGCGUCUGAUUAGCUAGUUGGUGAGGUAACGGCUCACCAAGGCGACGAUCAGUAGCUGGUCUGAGAGGAUGAUCAGCCACACUGGGACUGAGACACGGCCCAGACUCCUACGGGAGGCAGCAGUGGGGAAUAUUGGACAAUGGGCGCAAGCCUGAUCCAGCCAUGCCGCGUGAGUGAUGAAGGCCUUAGGGUUGUAAAGCUCUUUCGCUGGGGAAGAUAAUGACGGUACCCAGAGAAGAAGCCCCGGCUAACUUCGUGCCAGCAGCCGCGGUAAUACGAAGGGGGCUAGCGUUGUUCGGAAUUACUGGGCGUAAAGCGCACGUAGGCGGACUUGUCAGUCAGAGGUGAAAUCCCGAAGCUUAACUUCGGAACUGCCUUUGAUACUGCAAGUCUUGAGGAUGAGAGAGGUAAGUGGAACUGCGAGUGUAGAGGUGAAAUUCGUAGAUAUUCGCAAGAACACCAGUGGCGAAGGCGGCUUACUGGCUCAUUUCUGACGCUGA
Molecule: ribosomal RNA, 647 nt
Filed under: uncultured bacterium
Lineage: Bacteria
Description: bacterial SSU rRNA
Rfam family: Bacterial small subunit ribosomal RNA
Source: RNAcentral